Molecule: ribosomal RNA, 253 nt
Filed under: uncultured bacterium
Lineage: Bacteria
Description: partial 16S ribosomal RNA
Rfam family: Bacterial small subunit ribosomal RNA
Source: RNAcentral
UACGUAGGGGGCUAGCGUUGUCCGGAUUUAUUGGGCGUAAAGAGCGUGUAGGCGGCCAGGUAGGUCUGCUGUGAAAACUCGAGGCUCAACCUCGAGACGUCGGCGGAAACCAUCUGGCUAGAGUCCGGAAGAGGAGAGUGGAAUUCCUGGUAUAGCGGUGAAAUGCGCAGAUAUCAGGAGGAACACCGGUGGCGAAGGCGGAUCUCUGGGCCGAUACUGACGCUGAGGAGCGAAAGCGUGGGGAGCGAACAGG